GAGUGAAGAUCUAACCCUCUCUAAUCACAUUACAAUCUUGGACCAGCUUUCUAGAUUCUUGAAUCACCAUCCUCGGCUCUCCAACCUCCUAAUUGGCUCUCCAAAUCAUCAACCUGAGCCAAUCCUCGAUGGCAAUAGAUAUAAACUCAAUUUAACAAUCACAAUAUUUUAGGUUUAACUUUUUUCAUGCACUUAUUUGAGGUUGUUUACCUAGGAAAGGGGACAAGUUUGAACGCGUUUCAAAGACCGAUGCUUGUAAAUGUGCUAGAACACUUUGAUUUUGGGGCUCAAUAG
Molecule: long non-coding RNA, 294 nt
Filed under: Elaeis guineensis (African oil palm)
Lineage: Eukaryota; Viridiplantae; Streptophyta; Magnoliopsida; Arecales; Arecaceae
Description: long non-coding RNA (EGUI_LNC005537)
Source: RNAcentral